Long non-coding RNA from Solea senegalensis (Senegalese sole), 764 nucleotides. RefSeq lists it as uncharacterized. Lineage: Eukaryota; Metazoa; Chordata; Actinopteri; Pleuronectiformes; Soleidae. The transcript is spliced from 6 exons. The record is from RefSeq and is a predicted model, not a curated record.
GGUUCACCUGUGAUCAAAAGAUGUACUUCAGAGAACCGCUUCCUUUUGUCUCACAACUUAACUUUAGGACAUAUUCGAUGGACAACAAGGCAGAGGUCCUGGUGGCCCUUUGAGUCCCGGGAGACCCCUCGUUCCAGAGUGCCCGGGGAAGCCAUUGUCUCCUGGAACCCCAGGAGGCCCUGGAGGUCCAGGUUUUCCAGACUUACUGCAGGCCCCUGGGACCCUCUGACUCCAGGUGGACCUCUGUUUCCCUGCAUGCCCCGGGGUCCAGGUGAGCCAGAAGGCCCCUCGAUGCCAGGCUGCCCUCGACUACCCUCAGGACCUCGUUUUCCAGUCUCGCCCAGAUUCUCCCGAUUCACCCUACCAUCAGCACAACAACAGGGAUUGAAAAACAAUACUGUUGGUUUCCCUCAUCACCUUGUGCUCCCUAUGAAAACAUCAAUUGUAAAUGAUGCAGACAAUGAAGCGUUACUAUUAAGAAAAAAAAUUCUCUGCAUCAGCAUUUCAUACCUGGUCUCCUUUGGGUCCUGCUUCUCCACGUUCUCCCUUUAAUUAAAAAAGAUGACCGGGAGGACCAGGGAGACCAGGAAGUCCAGGUGCACCUUUGGGUCCCUAUUAUAAAUAACAGGAGGAGAAGGGAGGAUAAACAUCAAAGCAGUUAUAAGAAAUGGGUUGGUAUCCACACAGAGCAGCCUUUAAAAAAAAACAAACACUCAAUUUAAGUGAUUAAAGGAAACAUAACAUAUUUACGUGUUGCAAAAACA